ACAAGUAGUCAGAGCCCGUUAAUGGGUGAUGGCGUGCCUUUUGUAGAAUGAACCGGCGAGUUACGAUUUGAUGCAAGGUUAAGCAGUAAAUGUGGAGCCGUAGCGAAAGCGAGUCUGAAUAGGGCGUUUAGUAUUUGGUCGUAGACCCGAAACCAGGUGAUCUACCCUUGGUCAGGUUGAAGUUCAGGUAACACUGAAUGGAGGACCGAACCGACUUACGUUGAAAAGUGAGCGGAUGAACUGAGGGUAGCGGAGAAAUUCCAAUCGAACCUGGAGAUAGCUGGUUCUCUCCGAAAUAGCUUUAGGGCUAGCCUCAAGUGAUGAUUAUUGGAGGUAGAGCACUGUUUGGACGAGGGGCCCCUCUCGGGUUACCGAAUUCAGACAAACUCCGAAUGCCAAUUAAUUUAACUUGGGAGUCAGAACAUGGGUGAUAAGGUCCGUGUUCGAAAGGGAAACAGCCCAGACCACCAGCUAAGGUCCCAAAAUAUAUGUUAAGUGGAAAAGGAUGUGGCGUUGCCCAGACAACUAGGAUGUUGGCUUAGAAGCAGCCAUCAUUUAAAGAGUGCGUAAUAGCUCACUAGUCGAGUGACACUGCGCCGAAAAUGUACCGGGGCUAAACAUAUUACCGAAGCUGUGGAUUGUCCUUUGGACAAUGGUAGGAGAGCGUUCUAAGGGCGUUGAAGCAUGAUCGUAAGGACAUGUGGAGCGCUUAGAAGUGAGAAUGCCGGUGUGAGUAGCGAAAGACGGGUGAGAAUCCCGUCCACCGAUUGACUAAGGUUUCCAGAGGAAGGCUCGUCCGCUCUGGGUUAGUCGGGUCCUAAGCUGAGGCCGACAGGCGUAGGCGAUGGAUAACAGGUUGAUAUUCCUGUACCACCUAUAAUCGUUUUA
Molecule: ribosomal RNA, 888 nt
Filed under: Staphylococcus aureus
Lineage: Bacteria; Bacillati; Bacillota; Bacilli; Caryophanales; Staphylococcaceae
Description: partial 23S ribosomal RNA
Rfam family: Bacterial large subunit ribosomal RNA
Source: RNAcentral